This is a long non-coding RNA of Peromyscus californicus insignis, 1776 nucleotides long. RefSeq lists it as uncharacterized. Lineage: Eukaryota; Metazoa; Chordata; Mammalia; Rodentia; Cricetidae. The record is from RefSeq and is a predicted model, not a curated record. The transcript has 3 exons.
UUGUCAGGUCAGUUACUAUGUUGCUUAAAAGAACUGUGCACAUUAGACCCAAAGGAAUUGUGUACCUCAUGAACAGCACAACAGCAAAACGAUUCUCUCUUCCUGAUUCUAUGGGUUCUUCAGCAAUACCAAUAUAAACCAGAGAUUGACAUGUGGAACAUUAACUCAGAAAGGAAGACCAGUCUGGAAUGUGGGCAGUACCCUCCAAACUGAGAAGAAAGAAUACUUGGGGAACAAGCUUGAAGAAGACCUACUUCCUGGCUAGAGUUUGACUUUUCAGAACACUUGGGGAACAAGACUGAAGAAAGACCUACUUCUGGCUAGUGUUUCACUUUUCAUCUCACAUAUAUAAAUUUUAUAUACUUAUAGAUAUUAUUUUAUUUUAUAUACAAGAAAAUGAUCAAUUAGCACAUAGCAUUAGGCCGGUAAGUGUUCUGGUUACUAUGGAGACUCAUGUGGAGCCUGGUGAGAACAAGAAUUUUGAUUUUAAAUGUUAACAUUUUGCUCUUGAAUUUUUAUAAAUUUUUUAAAUUACUUUAAUUAGAAGCAUUUAACAUCAACUGUGAAAUGGGUUUGAUUAUGUCUAGACAAGUAUAGAAUUUGUAAUGUGUACCUUUGUUACCCUGCAGAUGUGUCUGAGUUUUUUCACUUCACAAAGAAAGAAGAUAAUCUACCAUAGAGUCUGUUUCCUGAACAUUGAUGAGGCUGUUAUACUCCACUUGAACAUAUUUAUAUUUUUGAAGUUUUAGUAAACAAAUAAGAGGAUUAAGUAAAAACACAGGGAAAGGGGAAAGAGCAAUAAAAUAUUGCCAUGUGUUGAAUUCAUCUAUGUGAGCACUUUUUGUGCAAAUGUGGGUAUUGUGCUCAUUAUUGAAUAGGAAAUCCAAGUGAGCACUUUCCUUUUACACCUUAAAAUUGGGCUAGAAAUUAGUCAUAAUGGCUUGUUUGACUGUAAGAUGACUCAAUAAUUUUAUCCUAAUUGUGUCAAAGCAUUCUUGCCUGGAAUAGUGCUGAACUGAACACUCAGGGUUAGAAGUUACUGAGACAAGAGGAUUUUGAGAACAAGGCAACUUUGAGCUUCAUCAUAGGAUCCUGCUGCAAAAGUGUGAAGGGGUGUGUGUGUGUGUGUGUGUGUGUACUCUUAUAGAAGCUAUUUUUUAAACUUUGAACGUUAAGAUAUUUUCUUUAUGAAGUCAUAUGAAGCAUAUUCCAUGAUAUCUUUCCACAUUUAAUGUCAUUUUCAUGAAAGGAAAUGGUAGUUAUCUAGGAACAUUGAUGUCUCAUCAAACACACAGAAUACUCAGCAAGCCUAUGUUUGUCCAAUGAGUGAAUCCUUCUGCCCUUCAUCCACUCUGAAUAGUUCAAGUCUAUACCACCUUCAAUAAUGUUUUGUUUUUUCUCAUAUGUGUGGUGAUAUAUUGUGUCCCCCAAAAUAUUGUGCACCCUAAUAAACUUAUCUGGGGUCAGAGAACAAAACAGCCUCUAGAUAUAGAUGCCAGAAAAUGGUGGCACACAUGCCUUUAAUCCUAGCAUUCCAGAGGCAGAAAUCUGUCUGGAUCUCUGUGAGUUCAAGGCCACAUUGGAAACAGCCAGGCUGGGUGACACACGCCUUUAAUUCCAGGAAGUGAUGGCAGAAGGCAGAAAGGUAUAUAAGGUGUGAGGACCAGGACCUAGUGCUGUUUAAGCUUUUAGACUUUUAGCAGCAGUUCAGCUGGUUAAGCUUUUAGGCUUUUGAGCAACAGUUCAGCUGAGACCCAUUGAGAUGAGGACACAGAG